RNAcentral lists this long non-coding RNA (729 nucleotides) under Helianthus annuus (common sunflower). The record is from RNAcentral. Lineage: Eukaryota; Viridiplantae; Streptophyta; Magnoliopsida; Asterales; Asteraceae.
UACAUAUGUAUCAAAAGGAAAUUUCGACAUGGUUACGACGAAAAACCAUGUAUGUAACUUGAAAAGAAAAGAAUUUUCAAGAGAAUGUGUUGACUUGAUAACAAAAGAGCCAACAGUUACAAUAAUGCGGGUCAUUCGAAUCACAAAUCAAUAAUUAGAUUUAGCGAAAUAACAUUUGAACUUUGAUGAAACGCUUAUUCGAAACAAAACCACAUGCGUAACAAACGAUACACUAAUGAUCGUGAUACAAUGACCAUUAAGAGGAGUAGAGAUGUGAAAAUCUACUCACUAGAUGCAAAGGUCGGAAUUCCAAUAAAAGAAAUCUGAGGACUUUACCUGGGGUUUCAUGUGACGUCCAGUUGUUAGGUGACAUUACCAUGGAAUGUAGAACAUAGCGUAUUCGUCUUUAUGAGUUAGGGGGAAUGCGGAGACAUACGUCUUCUCCUUGGCGUGUUUCAUGUCGUUGCAGGACCGCGUGUCAAACUGCCGCUUCCUGAUCGAUAGUUCUCCUGCUGACAGGAAUCUAGCGUCGUCGUUGAAUUGCGCCGUCGUUUCUUCUCAAAGGCCUCGCCUCGAUAGUCGUAUGUGACGUGCUUCAACCUCCGUUGACGUACAUAUUGAGUUUCGCGUAUACCUGUGCACUAUCGUUUCGUUUCGCGUAGAAUGUGAUGUAUCCCGACAUCCUUUGACGUAAAGAUUGAGUUUUCUCGUGCACUAGCGUUUCGUUAU